UACGGAGGGUGCAAGCGUUGUCCGGAUUUAUUGGGUUUAAAGGGUGCGUAGGCGGCCCUGUAAGUCAGUGGUGAAAUACUGCAGCUUAACUGUAGCAUUGCCAUUGAUACUGCAGGGCUUGAGUACAGAUGAGGUAGGCGGAAUUGAUGGUGUAGCGGUGAAAUGCAUAGAUACCAUCAAGAACACCGAUUGCGAAGGCAGCUUACUAAG
Molecule: ribosomal RNA, 210 nt
Filed under: uncultured bacterium
Lineage: Bacteria
Description: partial 16S ribosomal RNA
Rfam family: Bacterial small subunit ribosomal RNA
Source: RNAcentral